Molecule: non-coding RNA, 148 nt
Filed under: Chlorocebus sabaeus (green monkey)
Lineage: Eukaryota; Metazoa; Chordata; Mammalia; Primates; Cercopithecidae
Source: Rfam by way of RNAcentral
GCCGGGCAUGGUGGUGCACGCCUGUAAUCCCAGCUACUCAGGAGGCUGAGGCAGGAGGAUCACUUGAACCCAGGAGGCGGAGGCUGCAGUGAGGCGAGAUCACACCACUGCCGUCCGGCCUGGGAAACAGAGCGAGACCCUGUCUCAC